GGACAUAGGAGCUUGCUCUGCAUCUUAAGCUUUUAUAGUUUCUAGUGAUCAGAUAGCUGUUUAAUGUUUUAGAAAUACCAUUUUCAGUUUGUCUUUGUUGGCUUCAUGUGUUCGGUAACGAAGUAUAUGAUAGUUAUUUUUUAUCACCUUGUUUUUGUAGAUAUUAUCCAUAAUGUGACGGUCUAAGAACUCCCUAAGAUGCCAUCUAUUAAUGGCCCUGACCCCGGCAAAAUUGAGAAGAUAGGCAGUACAGAGAAAGCAUUUAGUCCUACAGAGAAGCUGUUAAAGCCAGAUAUAAAUAUAGCAGCCCAUCAAAACGUCAGCGUAAAAUCUGAGAGUUGCAAGCCUGAAGAAGGUAUUCCGUUUGACAAUGCUAAUCCAGAAGGUCGGGUUCGAGAGGGCAAUAGUGGCAAGGAUGAGAAAGAAAUGCGGCUUUUCAAAGUUGCCCUUGUGGAGUAUGUUAAGGAGAUUCUAAAGCCCGUGUGGAAGGAAGGUCAGAUGAGCAGGGAAGUCCACAAAUCUAUCGUGAAAAAGGUGGUAGAUAAGGUAACCGGUACAAUACAAGGAGGCCAUAUCCCUAAAACACAAGAGAAAGUUGAUCAAUAUCUUGCAUGUUCUAAACCCAAGCUUACCAAACUUGUACAGGUCAGCUUUGAUUGCAAUUUCCUGUUGUUAGCAUAGUUCUUUCUGACAUUUAGUAAACUGCACUUACUGCCAUUCCAGUUUAUACCGUCAAAGCUUUAGCAUGGUUUGUCUAUCACAUGUUUCCUAAUUUGAAUUUCUGUCACAUAGCAUGUUUCUAUUAUUAAAAACAGUCUCAUCAUAUAGACUGAUUUCAAAAAGUAGAUGUCCAUUGGGAUAUUAGGUUGUAGAAAUGUAUUAAAAAAUUGGAUGUAGCUCUAACGUCCGAUUUAUCUUUGCAGGCUUACACUGAGAGACUUUUGAAGAGUUAAAAGAGGAGUUUAUAAGAGGUGCUUGAAGUACUUUGCUAUUAGCAGAUGUUUCUUGCGCCGGACAUAGGAGCUUGCUCUGCAUCUUAAGCUUUUAUAGUUUCUAGUGAUCAGAUAGCUGUUUAAUGUUUUAGAAAUACCAUUUUCAGUUUGUCUUUGUUGGCUUCAUGUGUUCGGUAACGAAGUAUAUGAUAGUUAUUUUUUAUCACCUUGUUUUUGUAGAUAUUAUCCAUAAUGUGACGGUCUAAGAACUCCCUAAGAUGUUUUGUUAUCUUGUAACCUGGAGUAUAUAAGGUUGUUGAUGUCUCUCUUUUAGACAAUAUUGUGUUUACUAUUUGGAAAAAU
This 1295-nucleotide long non-coding RNA is filed under the name Daucus carota (carrot). RNAcentral describes it as "long non-coding RNA (DCAR_LNC002215)". Lineage: Eukaryota; Viridiplantae; Streptophyta; Magnoliopsida; Apiales; Apiaceae. The record is from RNAcentral.